CGUAAUAGCUCACUAGUCGAGUGACUCUGCGCCGAAGAUAAACGGGGCUGAAACCUGACACCGAAGCUUUGGAUACAUUAUGUAUGGUAGAGGAGCAUCGUAUACGGGCAGAAGCGUGACCGUAAGGGAGCGUGGACUGUAUACGAGAGAGAAUGUUGGCAUGAGUAGCGAGAGGCAGGUGAGAAUCCUGCCCGCCGAAAAUCUGAGGAUUCCUGAGGAAGGUUCGUCCGCUCAGGGUAAGUCGGGACCUAAGCCGAGAACGAAAGUUGUAGGCGAUGGACAACAGGUUGAGAUUCCUGUACCACCGAGGAUCAUUUGAAUGAAGUGGGGACGCAGGAGGAUAGGCUGAGCGCGCCGUUGGUGGAGCGCGUCCAAGCACGGAGGGAGUUGACCAGGCAAAUCCGGUCAGCGAGUUCCUGUCGUGUGACGGGGAGGGAAAACAAGUACCGAAGCAGCUGAUUUCACACUGCCAAGAAAAGCCGCUGGUGAGAUCCAAGGUGCCCGUACCGCAAACCGACACAGGUAGAUGAGGAGAGAAUCCUAAGGCGAGCGAGAGAACUAUUGUUAAGGAACUCGGCAAAAUGACCCCGUAACUUAGGGAGAAGGGGUGCUGCAGAAAUGCAGCCGCAGUGAAGAGGCCCAGGCGACUGUUUACCAAAAACACAGGUCUCUGGGAAAGCGAAAGCUGAAGUAUAGGGGCUGACGCCUGCCCGGUGCUGGAAGGUUAAGGGGAAGUGUCAGGGCGACCGAAGCACAGAACUUAAGCCCCAGUAAACGGCGGCCGUAACAAUAACGGUCCUAAGGUAGCGAAAUUCCUUGUCGGGUAAGUUCCGACCCGCACGAAAGGCGUAACGAUCUGGGCACUGUCUCGACAAUAGGCUCGGUGAAAUUGUAGUACCGGUAAAGAUGCCGGUUACCCGCAGCAGGACGGAAAGACCCCGUGGAGCUUUACUGCAGUUUGAUAUUGAGUUUCGGCAUUGCAUGUACAGGAUAGGUGGGAGACAGAGAAGUAUGCACGCCAGUGUGUAAUGAGUCGCCGUUGGGAUACCACCCUUGUAAUGUUGGAAUUCUAACCAGGGCCCGUGAACCGGGUCGGGGACAGUGUCAGACGGGCAGUUUGACUGGGGCGGUCGCCUCCUAAAGAGUAACGGAGGCGCCCAAAGGUUCCCUCAGUGCGGUUGGAAACCGUGCGAAGAGUGCAAAGGCAGAAGGGAGCUUGACUGCGAGACAGACAGGUCGAGCAGGGACGAAAGUCGGGCUUAGUGAUCCGGUGGUACCGAGUGGAAGGGCCAUCGCUCAACGGAUAAAAGCUACCCCGGGGAUAACAGGCUGAUACCCCCCAAGAGUCCACAUCGACGGGGGUGUUUGGCACCUCGAUGUCGGCUCGUCUCAUCCCGGGGCUGAAGCAGGUCCCAAGGGUUGGGCUGUUCGCCCAUUAAAGAGGUACGCGAGCUGGGUUCAGAACGUCGUGAGACAGUUCGGUCCCUAUCCGCUGUGGGCGUUGGAGGUUUGAGUGGAGCUGCCCUUAGUACGAGAGGACCGGGGUGGACAUACCGCUGGUGCACCGGUUGCAGUGCCAACUGCACAGCCGGGUAGCUAAGUAUGGAAGGGAUAAGCGCUGAAAGCAUCUAAGUGCGAAGCCCCCCACGAGAAAAGACCUCCUUGAGAAUAUCUGAAGAUCCCUGGAAGACUAACAGGUAGAUAGGUCGGAGGUGUAAGUGCAGCGAUGCAUGUAGCUGACCGAUACUAAUAGAUCGAACGCUUGAU
RNAcentral lists this ribosomal RNA (1767 nucleotides) under metagenome. Its description in RNAcentral is "bacterial LSU rRNA". It matches the Rfam family "Bacterial large subunit ribosomal RNA", at positions 1133 to 2925 of the family's 2925-position model. The record is from RNAcentral.